GCAGAGCCCUGCACCUCCGCCUUGCGUGGGUCAGAGCCAGCCAGUUAGGUGCCCCUUUGGCCCAUGUGGACGAAGUUCCCGCUGCAUUUCUGUCAUUAGAGCUCCAAGACGGUCUAAUAUAUCCACGAAAAUCUGCUCUUAACAAAGGUCUAAGAAAUCCGUUCACCUGGAGAACUCAUCACCGAUAAAAGCUUAACAGCAGGGACCAUCUUUCAACGAGGCUUCAUCAAAACUCAAAGCAAGUGGCUGGGUCUGAAUGGUAGGAUUUAGGUCUUAACUCCUGAAGGGUUAGCGUUCUUACUUUAAAGGUGGACACCUUCUUGGAGCGUAAGAUCGACCGCUGGCGGGGCCUGGGCCGGCGGGGCCGAGAGUCGAGGUGGGUGUGGCUGGGCCGUCCGCCUCUGCAGGUGAAUUGAAUGCCCACUAGAGCUCUAAUCGUGACCAGAGUGUUCUCCCUGCAGGGGCUGUGAAUGUAUCCUCGCAGUUUCUGGAGUGAGGACUCCAGGCUUAAAAUCCUAGCUUCACACUUGGCGACCCUGGGCAGCUGCGGGCUUCUGGGGGCCUCAACUUCCUCAGUGUAAGGCAGACGCAGCUGGGCCUCUGCUUCGAGCGGAAGGCAUCCCCUUACCAGGUUGAUGCGGCUGGCCUCUACGUGCCGGAGGAGGACGUCGGCCACCCGUUCAGUGUCCCACCACACGCCGGGGUCAUCUGGGAAAUCCCUGGAAGGAAGAAGCACAACCUGGAAACCAUUUCUAACCCGGAUGCAUGAGCCAACAUGAAGAGGCCAAAGAGGAGACAACUGGAGUAUCAAAGAACACAGUGACUUAAACUGAAAAUCCGAACACGUGAACACAGAAGUUCCUAAUGAAAUAAAGCAGUGGCCUCCCCAUCCAAGAAACAAACAAACAAACAAUGGGUUACCAUCGGAGGUAUGUAAGGGAUCAACUCCUAUUCUGAAAACGGCGAUCAAAGGGAAAGAAUUAAGCAUUUAGCCUGUCUUUUGGGAUCAAAGUACCUAUCAGGAUAACUAAAUAGCCCCAGUUGAUAAAGUUCUGCUUUAUAGAAGAAUAUAUAGCUAAUACAUUUGGAACGCAGGAGACAUUUAGAAAGUCACCGUUUUGCAACUUCUAGUUAAUUAAGGACUCGUGAAAGCACCGCGUGAAAGGCUGAUGUGAACUUUACAGUGAACGGGGCGGCCAUUGCCACGUGAUCUCACUAAGAGUGAGGUACACAGUACGUGUGACAGACAGUCACAUGCGUGACUAAAAGUGAGACAGAUAGUACAUGUCCUGAAAUGACGGAACAGGGAGUACACAGUGCAGCUUCCUGCCCCUGAAAGUUAGCGUUCAUUUCCAGUUUGCAAGAAAUAUGGAGGAUAGAGGAACUACUUACGUAAAACCACGAGGGAGCAGACAGACAAACCCUUCUGUACGACAACUGACUCAGGUUUUCAACAAUCAGUGCAAGGUCGGGGCGGGGAGGGACACGCAGAAUAUCAACCAGGUAUAAUGUGUGCACUCUGUCUACAUCCUGAUUUGAACAAACCAACUGUGAAAAGACAUUCAUUUUUGAGCUACUUGGAGUAGCUCAAAAUGGACUGGGUAUUGGAGACAUCAAGGAAUUGCUGUUACUAUUAAUUUUGUUAGAUGGAUAAUAAUGACAUUGUGGCUGCAUGAAAAAAAGUCUAUCUUCUUAAGAGAUGUAUCCCGAAGUACGUAGGGAUAGAAUAACCUGAUGGUUGGGUUUUCUUUUUAAAAUACUUCACACACAGGAGGGAUAAAUUGGGAGACUGGGAUUGACACAUACACACUACUAUAUAUAAAACAGAUAACUAAUA
Aethalodelphis obliquidens (Pacific white-sided dolphin) is the source of this 1837-nucleotide long non-coding RNA. RefSeq lists it as uncharacterized. The record is from RefSeq and is a predicted model, not a curated record. The transcript is spliced from 3 exons. NCBI's taxonomy places the organism in Eukaryota, Metazoa, Chordata, Mammalia, Artiodactyla, Delphinidae.